This 473-nucleotide unclassified non-coding RNA is filed under the name Hevea brasiliensis (rubber tree). The record is from RNAcentral. Lineage: Eukaryota; Viridiplantae; Streptophyta; Magnoliopsida; Malpighiales; Euphorbiaceae.
AUCUGCUCUAUCAAAGAUAACAUCUACAGGUGCAAUGACUUAUUGCUUCAUCCAAGCCAUUGAGCGUGGACAAGGGACUACAUAUGGGAGCAUUCUCAAUUCAAUGCGUGCUGCCAUCCGAAAUACUGGUAAUGACCUUGGCGGUGGGGCUGUGACAUCUCUUCUCACCAUGCUUUUGACAGGAGGCAGUAUUGGUGGGGGACUGAGACAGGAGCCACAAUUGACUGCCUGCCAGCCAUUUGAUGUAUAUACCAGACCUUUUUCUUUCUGAAGUUUGAAUAAAAGUAGACAUUGAUUAUAACUGGAUAUAAAGGAAGUGGUUUUCAUCUUAAUUUGUUUGCAACUGACUGGCUGUUUUGUAGAACAAGAUUCGUCGCGAUCCUCAUUGUGUCACAUCUUUUACUUUGUUUUGCACAUCACAUUUAUGAAGAGGAGGAAUGUGCCAAACAAAGUAAAAGAUGUGACACAAUGAG